This 400-nucleotide unclassified non-coding RNA is filed under the name uncultured fungus. Its description in RNAcentral is "sequence contains ITS1". The record is from RNAcentral. Lineage: Eukaryota; Fungi.
CCGUCAAUUCAUUUGAGUUUCACACUUGCGUGCGUACUCCCCAGGCGGAUCACUUAUCGCGUUAGCUUGGGCGCUGAGGUUCGACCCCCAACACCUAGUGAUCAUCGUUUACGGCGUGGACUACCAGGGUAUCUAAUCCUGUUUGCUCCCCACGCUUUCGCGCUUUAGCGUCAGUAUCUGUCCAGUGAGCUGACUUCUCCAUCGGCAUUCCUACAAAUAUCUACGAAUUUCACCUCUACACUUGUAGUUCCGCCCACCUCUCCAGUACUCUAGAAAAACAGUUUCCAACGCAAUACGGAGUUGAGCCCCGCAUUUUAACAUCAGACUUAUUUUUCCGCCUAGACGCGCUUUACGCCCAAUAAAUCCGGAUAACGCUUGCGACAUACGUAUUACCGCGGCG